Non-coding RNA from Pelobates cultripes (western spadefoot toad), 803 nucleotides. The record is from the annotation of a GenBank genome assembly. Lineage: Eukaryota; Metazoa; Chordata; Amphibia; Anura; Pelobatidae.
CCUGCAGUGGGAGGGACAGACUCCAUGUCCCAUAGCUCCUUCUGUCUGUGUCACCCUGCAGUGGGAGGGACAGACUCCGUGUCCCAUAGCUCCUUCUGUCUGUGUCACCCUGCAGUGGGAGGGACAGACUCUGUGUCCCAUAGCUCCUUUUGUCUGUGUCACCCUGCAGUGGGAGGGACAGACUCCGUGUCCCAUAGCUCCUUUCUGUAUGUGUCACCCUGAAGUGGGAGGGACAUACUCCGUGUCCCAUAGCUCCCUCUGUCUGUGUCACCCUGCAGUGGGAGGGACAGACUCCGUGUCCCAUAGCUCCUUCUGUCUGUGUCACCCUGCAGUGGGAGGGACAGACUGUGUCCCAUAGCUCCUUCUGUCUGUGUCACCCUGCAGUGGGAGGGACAGACUCCGUGUCCCAUAGCUCAUUCUGUCUGUGUCACCCUGCAGUGGGAGGGACAGACUCCGUGUCCCAUAGCUCCUUCUGUCUGUGUCACCCUGCAGUGGGAGGGACAGACUCCGUGUCCCAUAGCUCCUUCUGUCUGUGCUACCCUGCAGUGGGAGGGACACACUGUGUCCCAUAGCUCCUUCUGUCUGUGUCACCCUGAAGUGGGAGGGACAGACUCUGUGUCCCAUAGCUCCUUCUGUCUGUGUCACCCUGCAGUGGGAGGGACAGACUGUGUGUCCCAUAGCUCCUUCUGUCUGUGUCAUCCUGCAGUGGGAGGGACAGACUCUGUGUCCCAUAGCUCCUUCUGUCUGUGUCACCCUGCAGUGAGAGGGACAGACUCCGUGUCCCAUAGCUCCUUCUGUCUGUG